UAAAGCUCUGCUUUACCUCAAAAAAACCACGCAACAAGCCACAAUCUAUCGAUCGCUACUAUGCCCCGCGGUAAAAAAAGAAAGUAAACCGCCCGCCCGCACGACCUCCUCCUUCUCCCGCACGACCUCCUCCUCCUCCUCCCGCAGCCGCGCCCUUCACCGCCUCCUCGCGCCGCCGGAGCCACGGGAAGCGGCCGCGGGUCGCCGGGAGCCUCCCCGACCGCGGGAGCCCACCCCGCCCCCGCCGCGGCUCGCCGGGAGCCUCCCCUGCCGCCGGAGCCGCCCCGCCGCAGCUUGGCCUCCGCCACUCCGCCGGAGCGAGUCUCUCUCCUCUUCACUUGGGAUGGGACGCCUCCUCUCCUCUGCUCCCAGCCGGAUCCAAUCCACCUCGCCCCGGCAUGCAGCCACGGAAGGCCAGGUCCGUGCGCCUCUUUCCCAUGGCCAUGGAGUCGCCGCAGCCGCCAUGGAAUGCCUGGAUGUCGUCAAGAUGCACGCAGGUGCAGCAUCUACACCGAUGUCUGCUCUUGAGACACAGACAACAGAGGAGAGGACAAGUCUAGAAUUGCUAGACUGAAUCUAUCCAUCUGCUCUGCUCUCGGGACAACAGAGGAGAGGACAAGUCCAGAAUUGCUAGACUGAAUCUAUCCAUCUGCUCAGCUCAGUUCAUGCAGGUCAGGUCACAUCACGGAGGGAUUCCUGCGAAUCUACAUACAACUUCAAUUAAUUUAUUAGUACUAGGUGGGUGUGAGAAAACUGAAAUUUUUAGAUGCAUGCUUGCUUGGAUGCGUGACACACAACACUGUUUGCUCGUCUCAACUCUGUGGUUUUGCUUAUGUACCAACAUCUUCUCAACUUUGUGUUCUAUUUAUGGGAAUUGUAGAGGCUAGAGACAUAGCAAUCGUCAGGCUUCAGUUUUGUACUGACCACUCCAAGGCUUGUUCAACCUGGUGAAUCUUUCCUUCAUCUGCAUCAUUUUUCGCUUCAGUCUGUACAUCCUCGCCCUCCGCCCACUGAUCCUAUUCUCCGCCGCCCGCCUUCCUCUGCUCCUCCUCUGCCUCCGCCGAUCUCAUCUGAGCCAGUAAGUUUUCUUUACAUUCAAGUGUGCAUUGUUUGAACAACAUGCUUGUGGUUCUGUUCUUUCCACACAAGAUAAUCUGAUACAUACAUGAUCCUUAUGGUUAUGAUUAUUUUAGUGCAUACAUACAUGAUUCUUCCACACAGCAGGAACAAUUAUUCUGGAACAAUUGCCGUAUGUGAAUUAUCAUGAUCCAACGCCAAUGCCACACACAGCACUAAAAGGGUUACAGUUUAUGAGGACAUAUUGAAUUAGUGAGGAUUUCAGAAAUUUGUAGUCCAAGCAACUCAUACAUUUGAAGUUUUGUUGCUUACCUUCCCAUCCCAUUGUGUUGCUAUGCUCCUGAAGUUGCCUAACUACAGGAAAGGAGGCCAAAGUUUUGCUAUAUUGGGUUAUCCACAAUAGUAUCGGCAACGAUGUUUUGUUUUGUCGCAACUACUCAAAUAUAUAAUCUAAAUAAUCUAAAUAUAUAAUCUGCACAAUGUAGUUUGAGUUAAAAAAUACCACAUUGUAGUUUCAAUUUUUUUUUAAAAACCCACGUGUUUUGUUGUUUCAAGAGAUUGAGUCAUGGGCUGUGAGCAAGCAUUAUAUAUUGACAUGAAAGGUAGAUCUAUUUAGAUCAUGAAGGUUUGUGCACCGUGAUGCAAAGGCCGUAUGCAUCGACGAGGCGAAGGUGGGGCUUACCGGGAUGGGUUGAGAGGAGGCAGUGGAGAGAGGAAAUGGGAGAGGCGGAUGGUGAAUAUAGGAGGUGAAAAAGGAUGCAUCUACUUAGUCCUUCUGUUGAAUGCAUAAAAGGCACCCUGCAGCCUCUCUGCUUGCAAAAUAGAUGCUCUCUGCUUGGUACACUCAUGACAUUAAACCUUUCAUCUCCAGUUAGAGAUGCAACUUGAUUUGACCUAAAAAAUUCUAUUUUUGAGUAUUACUUUCUUCCACACCUCUGCAACAUCUUCUGAAGCCUCCACUCUUAACGAGUCUGCUGCUAGCGCUUUCUUAAAUUUUAUACGGGAAAAUAAUGUAGUACUUUUUUUAAAAAAUUUGUGCAAGCUAAUAUGUUUCAAGAUUCAUGAAACAUAUGUUUCAACAUUCAAAUGUUUACAUAAAAACCAUAUGCGGCAAAACUGAAUGACAUUUUGAAAUAUAUAAUUUUGACAGAAUGAAAACAAAUUCAGUUUCCUCUUCCUCCCUAACUAUGCAUACUUUAUUUCUACAGGUACAGAAUAUUGCUACUCAUCAACAUCUGCAGCAUCUAAGGUCCUUUUCGUCACAUAUUCAUAUUUACUUGAGAUUCUGCUUACUUUGUUUGCACCAUUUAAUAAUUGAGCUUCUCAAUAUUGCAUGAAUAUUUCUAAUGAUGUACGAUGUUCCCCAUUUCUUUAACAUCCCUGGCAUGUGUGUGCUCCAUUAGUGAAUGACAAAUUUCUGAAUUUUUGUGAUGAACAAUGUUUACGUUCGUUUAGGCAGCUCACCGGCAUCCAUCAUGGUUUGCUAUUUUAGAAUUAAUCAAGAUUACCUUUCAGGCUUCUUCCGUUGCCUAGCUAAUUCCCUCCUUGUAGGCCAUGUUGUGGUCUGAAAUUGAACGUAUACAUAUGAUCCUGGUUUUUCUACACCGCCAACUUUACUAUUGAUUACUCCUAGAACCUUAAGUUGAUCUGAAUAGACAUAGCGAAGUAGAUGCAAACUUCAGGAUAAAAGCAUGUAUAUCAUGGAAUGAUAGGAAGAGGGCUCUGAGCUAGACAUGUUGAUUAUACCGUUUAAUGUUAGCUCCAUCAAUACUGAUACAUAUACGAUUUCCUGUUGUAGAUAGGUAAAUAUUUUGCAAGUAAUGUAAUUUGGUAAAUAACCUAAAGUAUUAACCUUACUGCUAUCUCAAAGUAUGAUGCGAUUAUUCAGUAUCCAUUGCCUGAUAUAGUCAGUCAGAGGCAUCAAAUCAAAUCUCCCUUAAAUGAUUAAAUCAUUUAACUGCACAUCACAAGUAUCAGCCUCCAUCUGCCACCAAUAUUGCAAGAAACAAGGCAUGCUGAUCUAAUAACCGUCUUUAUGUAUAUUUUUAACCUAACAAGUGAGCUGAUGAUCAGGAAAUCAUGUUUAACUAUCAAUAAGUGAUACCAUUUCUUGGUUCAGUGAAGUGAUUAUGUGGAUCUUGUGAGGAAAACAGAUAUGCCAAGAAGCCUGGGAGGUUGUCUACAGUCACUGGCCUGGUAUGUGACCUGCUUGCAUCUUUUCCUGAUUACCUCACAACUGCAGUUGUCUAUGUUUUAUAUUAACCAUCGUUUUAUCAAUUUAAUUCACAAGUUUGUUUCUCGAAUUUACAUGUAUGCGUUGAUGACAUGAAAACUGAACAUAUAUUUGUUUGACACUGAGUUCUGCUGAACAUGUAAGUAUAGCCGGGAGAGUCAUGUAUUCGCUCGAUGCCAUAGCUCACCAACCCCGAGCUGUUGCCACUGUCGAAGACACCUUAAUAUUAAACAAUAAGUAUUAUAUUCAUCAAGAGAGUUUCCUCGCUAUGUGGUGUUAAUUCUGAUCUAUAUGAUUUCUCGCACAAAGAAUGCGUCUAUAUGACAUGAGGUUAGUCUUCUUUAACUCCUUUCUGAUCUAUUAAUUAUUAAGCGUCCCAUCUCUUGGUCUCAAAGUUUUCGAGAAAAUGAUUUAUUUUGUUUAGUGCCAUUCAAGAGAUGUGGAUAAAAAAUCAUGUUUAACUAUCAAUAAGUGAUCCCAUUUCUUGGUUCAGUGAAGUGAUUAUGUGGAUCUUGUGAGGAAAACAGAUAGGCCAAGAAGCCUGGGAGGUUGUCUAGAGUCACUGGCUUGGUAUGUGACCUGCUUGCAUCUUUUCCUGAUUACCUCACAACUGCAGUUGUCUACGUUUUAUAUUAACCAUCGUUUUAUCAAUUUAAUUCACGAGUUUGUUUCUCGAAUUUACAUGUAUGCGUUGAUGAGAUGAAAUCUGAACAUAUAUUUGUUUGACACUGAGUUCUGCUGAACAUGUAAGUAUAGCCGGGAGAGUCAUGUAUUCGCUCGAUGCCAUAGCUCACCAACCCCGAGUUGUUGCCACUGUCGAAGACAUCUUAAUAUUAAACAAUAAGUAUUAUAUUCAUCAAGAGAGUUUCCUCACUAUGUGGUGUUAAUUUUGAUCCAUAUGAUUUCUCGCACAAAGAAUGCGUCUAUAUGACAUGAGGUUAGUCUUCUUUAACUCCUUUCUGAUCUAUUAAUUAUUAAGCGUCCUAUCUCUUGGUCUCAAAGUUUUCGAGAAAAUGAUUUAUUUUGUUUAGUGCCAUUCAAGAGAUGUGGAUAAAGAUAUCAAGUCGUAGUUUCAUUGUGCAUCAUGCUUUUUGUGGGGGUUUCACUGCUUUUUUUGCAUGAUUUCUCAACAUGGUAGCAUGGUCUAUCAUAUUAAACCUCUUGUUUGUGUGCUAGAUAUAUUUCGCUAUACAGGCCAACAUCUGUCGGGUGCAUGUAAGACUCCAUAUAUAGGAUCCACAUCAUAAUGUUCCAGUCCAUAGGUUCCAUCCCCCUUUAUCUUUCUUGAUCUCGAUUCAGUUGGUUGUAUUUCUUGUUUGCGUAUAAUUUCAAGAUGAUUAAUGUGAAGUGAUGACUUGCAUGUAAUUUCAAGCUGGUUGUAACCCUAAAAAGGAUAGAUUGAGUGAGGCUGGGCUGUAUGGUUGAAAAUCGUAUAUUUACAUUUGUUCUCUCCACGAUCAUGUAGCGGUGUGAUUAUUUUUGCAGUUUCUCUAAUUACCAUUUUCUCUUAUUCUAGCUUAUAUUGUUGUGUUGACAACACUGGAGGGAUGUUACUGAAGGAAUAUUCAAUAAUAGCUAGAGUUUUUGUACUUACUGAUUAUAUACAUUGACAUAUGACCAUAACUGAACAAUGUUGAGUUAUCUUCUAAAUUAGUAUGAAUUUUUUUCUGCUCAAAAACAGUUUUCUAUGAUAUUUGUAAUUUCCACGUUUCGAUUGAGCUUCUUACGAUCUAUCAGUAAGGCCUCUCAGGUUUUAGAUUUGUGAUUAGAUCGUUGCAUAUAAGCCAAAAUGAGUCUAUAAUAAGGGAAAUAAACUGGCUACGCUUACCGUAUGGAUGAAACUGAAGAGUGAAGUGAUAUUUCUUUCUACCAUUGCAUAGCUUUACCAUCACCGAUCCAUGUUAAGUGUGAUUUAUUUCUCUGUACAUUAUUUGGAUACAAAGGAUUCAAGCUGAAAAGAAGAUGCAGUGGAUUCAAUGUUAUGCAGAACAUUAUCACAAGUUGGCAUUUCCUGUGAAACGAAGACCAUUAUAUAGAACAUUGAUUAAUUUGUAGAAAAAUGCUGAUAGCCAAAGGUUAAUGCUGAUAGCCAAAGGGUAAUGCUGAUAGACCAUUAUAUAUAAAUACUUGAAAUAAUUCAGUUAUGGUUUCUAUCAAUAUAUUGUUUCUACUGCAUAUAUAUUACUUUUAGCUACGCAAUUUCCUCCGACAGCCAAA
Molecule: long non-coding RNA, 5527 nt
Organism: Triticum urartu
Lineage: Eukaryota; Viridiplantae; Streptophyta; Magnoliopsida; Poales; Poaceae
Source: RefSeq, a predicted model, not a curated record